Molecule: ribosomal RNA, 496 nt
Filed under: uncultured bacterium
Lineage: Bacteria
Description: partial 16S ribosomal RNA
Rfam family: Bacterial small subunit ribosomal RNA
Source: RNAcentral
GACGAACGCUGGCGGCGUGCCUAAUACAUGCAAGUUGAGCGAUGAAGAUUGGUGCUUGCACCAAUUUGAAGAGCAGCGAACGGGUGAGUAACGCGUGGGGAAUCUGCCUUUGAGCGGGGGACAACAUUUGGAAACGAAUGCUAAUACCGCAUAACAACUUUAAACAUAAGUUUUAAGUUUGAAAGAUGCAAUUGCAUCACUCAAAGAUGAUCCCGCGUUGUAUUAGCUAGUUGGUGAGGUAAAGGCUCACCAAGGCGAUGAUACAUAGCCGACCUGAGAGGGUGAUCGGCCACAGUGGGACUGAGACACGGCCCAAACUCCUACGGAGGCAGCAGUAGGGAAUCGUCGGCAAUGGACGAAAGUCUGACCGAGCAACGCCGCGUGAGUGAAGAAGGUUUUCGGAUCGUAAAACUCUGUUGGUAGAGAAGAACGUUGGUGAGAGUGGAAAGCUCAUCAAGUGACGGUAACUACACAGAAAGGGACGGCUAACUACGUG